AUUAAAGCAUGGCACUGAAGAUGCCAAGAUGGCUGCCAUUCAUGCACCCGAGGACA
Molecule: transfer RNA, 56 nt
Filed under: Pinguinus impennis (great auk)
Lineage: Eukaryota; Metazoa; Chordata; Aves; Charadriiformes; Laridae
Description: tRNA-Phe
Source: RNAcentral